AUUCCACACAGGAAGGUCACACCAUCCCCCACUGUUACAAGGGAGAAGAUCUGAUAGAUAUAAAAGUUAAGAUUAAAGAAGAGGAGACUUAUGUGAGCUAUGAUCAGCAGUCUAUGGAGGAGGAUGGAAUAAUAAGGCUAAUUCUAGAGGAAGACACUACUACAGAGAUCAGUACAGUAGAUGGACGGGAGAUGAGGAAAACCUCAGAGGAUU
Molecule: long non-coding RNA, 213 nt
Organism: Rana temporaria (common frog)
Lineage: Eukaryota; Metazoa; Chordata; Amphibia; Anura; Ranidae
Exons: 3
Source: RefSeq, a predicted model, not a curated record